This 497-nucleotide ribosomal RNA is filed under the name uncultured bacterium. Its description in RNAcentral is "partial 16S ribosomal RNA". It matches the Rfam family "Bacterial small subunit ribosomal RNA", at positions 28 to 507 of the family's 1533-position model. The record is from RNAcentral.
GAUGAACGCUGGCGGCGUGCCUAAUACAUGCAAGUCGAGCGAACAGAUGAGGAGCUUGCUCCUCUGACGUUAGCGGCGGAAGGGUGAGUAACACGUGGAUAACCUACCUAUAAGACUGGGAUAACUUCGGGAAACCGGAGCUAAUACCGGAUAAUAUAUUGAACCGCAUGGUUCAAUAGUGAAAGACGGUGUUGCUGUCACUUAUAGAUGGAUCCGCGCCGCAUUAGCUAGUUGGUAAGGUAACGGCUUACCAAGGCAACGAUGCGUAGCCGACCUGAGAGGGUGAUCGGCCACACUGGAACUGAGACACGGUCCAGACUCCUACGGGAGGCAGCAGUAGGGAAUCUUCCGCAAUGGGCGAAAGCCUGACGGAGCAACGCCGCGUGAGUGAUGAAGGUCUUCGGAUCGUAAAACUCUGUUAUUAGGGAAGAACAAAUGUGUAAGUAACUAUGCACGUCUUGACGGUACCUAAUCAGAAAGCCACGGCUAACUACGUG